This is a non-coding RNA of Pelobates cultripes (western spadefoot toad), 386 nucleotides long. Lineage: Eukaryota; Metazoa; Chordata; Amphibia; Anura; Pelobatidae. The record is from the annotation of a GenBank genome assembly.
UUACUUGCCUUCCUUUCAGGGUCAGUAUAUCUCCAUGGUCUUUUACCAAACUCCUCAAGACGGUUGUGGUGUACCUGCAGGCACAGGGUUUUCAUUGUAUCAACUGUUUGGAUGAUAUUUCCAUUCUGAUGAUCGCCCUGUUUUAGCUGAGUCAACCAUGUUUUCUGGUUCAUCUGGAGCUCUUAUGUAAGAAUCCCCUUCUGCUUCCCAGCCCUCAUCACAGAUCCCAAGGGGAAUCCUCAUCCGCUAGUUAUAAAGCAUAGUCUAUAUCUAGUGGCCUGGACUCUGUCUGGGGUUCCUGAAACGUCAAACAAAAUUUGGCAAGAGGCUAAAGUCAUGUGUUGUGUAUGUAGGGGGACGUGGCAAGUGUGCGCAUAGGAACUGUA